AUACUUACCUGGCGGGGAAGACAACUUAAUCAAGAAGGCGUUUCUUCGAGGGUGAGGCCUUUCCAUUGCAGUUUGGCUGGGCUGACUCCUGCGAUUACCCCCAACUUGGGUAGCUCGACUGUACAAUUUCUGGUAGUAGGGACCUGUGUUUGCGCUAGUCUCAC
Small nuclear RNA from Rhopilema esculentum, 164 nucleotides. RefSeq annotates it as U1 spliceosomal RNA. NCBI's taxonomy places the organism in Eukaryota, Metazoa, Cnidaria, Scyphozoa, Rhizostomeae, Rhizostomatidae. The record is from RefSeq and is a predicted model, not a curated record.